UACAGAGUUCCAAAGAAUAGCAAGGAGAGAUAAGAAAGCCUCCCUGACUCUCUGCCGCCACUUAGGGCCCGGCUCCGCUCCUCCUGCUUCUCCGCCUUCUUUUCUGAGCGCUGCCCGGCCGGCCGCCAUGGUGAACGUGGCCGACACGAAACUGUACGACAUCCUGGGCGUCCCGCCUGGCGCCAGAGAGAACGAGCUGAAGAAGGCAUACAGAAAGUUAGCCAAAGAAUACCGUGCUGAUAAGAAUCCAAAUGCUGGUGACAAAUUCAAAGAAAUAAGUUUUGCAUAUGAAGUACUAUCAAAUCCUGAGAAGCGCGAACUAUAUGACAGAUAUGGAGAACAAGGUCUUUGGGAAGGUAGCGGUGGAGGUGGUGGCAUGGAUGAUAUUUUCUCUCACAUUUUUGGUGGAGGAUUAUUUAGCUUCAUGUGUAAUCAGAGCAGAAGUCGAAAUGGCAGAAGAAGAGAAGACAUGAUGUGUCCACUCAAAGUAUCUUUAGAAGACCUGUAUAAUGGUAAGACAACCAAACUACAAAUUAGCAAGAAUGUAUUCUGUAGUGCAUGCAGUGGCCAAGGUGGGAAGUCUGGAGCUGUUCAGAAGUGUAGUGCUUGUCGGGGUCGAGGUGUACGCAUCAUGAUCAGACAGCUGGCUCCAGGGAUGGUACAGCAGAUGCAGUCUGUGUGUUCUGACUGUAAUGGAGAAGGAGAGGUAAUUAAUGAAAAGGACCGCUGUAAAAAAUGUGAAGGGAAGAAAGUGAUUAAAGAAGGCAAGAUUCUUGAAGUCCACGUAGACAAAGGCAUGAAACAUGGACAGAGAAUUACAUUUACUGGGGAAGCAGACCAGGCCCUAGGAGUGGAACUAGGACACAUUGUUCUUUUGCUACAAGAAAAAGAGCAUGAGGUGUUCCAGAGAGACGGGAAUGAUUUGCACAUGACAUAUAAGAUAGGACUUGUUGAAGCUCUUUGUGGAUUUCAGUUCACAUUUAAGCACCUUGAUGGACGUCAGAUUGCGGUGAAAUACACCCCUGGCAAAGUAAUUGAACCAGGAUGUGUUCGUCUUAUGAAAAAUUUCAUAACUCUCAGGUAUUUCCUACUUGAGCCACGAAACAAGGCAGAAUAA
Molecule: non-coding RNA, 1117 nt
Organism: Odocoileus virginianus texanus
Lineage: Eukaryota; Metazoa; Chordata; Mammalia; Artiodactyla; Cervidae
Source: RefSeq, a predicted model, not a curated record